RNAcentral lists this ribosomal RNA (438 nucleotides) under Clostridium sp. enrichment culture clone HD10. RNAcentral's name for it is "bacterial SSU rRNA". It matches the Rfam family "Bacterial small subunit ribosomal RNA", at positions 950 to 1391 of the family's 1533-position model. Lineage: Bacteria; Bacillati; Bacillota; Clostridia; Eubacteriales; Clostridiaceae. The record is from RNAcentral.
UUCAGGAACGCGAAGAACCUUACCUACCCUUGACAUACAGCGAACUUGGCAGAGAUGCCUUGGUGCCUUCGGGAACGCUGAUACAGGUGGUGCAUGGUUGUCGUCAGCUCGUGUCGUGAGAUGUUGGGUUAAGUCCCGCAACGAGCGCAACCCUUGCCUUUAGUUGCCAGCAUUAAGUUGGGCACUCUAGAGGGACUGCCGAGGAUAACUCGGAGGAAGGUGGGGAUGACGUCAAAUCAUCAUGCCCCUUAUGCUUAGGGCUACACACGUGCUACAAUGGGUGGUACAGAGGGUUGCCAAGCCGCGAGGUGGAGCUAAUCCCUUAAAGCCAUUCUCAGUUCGGAUUGUAGGCUGAAACUCGCCUACAUGAAGCUGGAGUUACUAGUAAUCGCAGAUCAGAAUGCUGCGGUGAAUGCGUUCCCGGGCCUUGUACACACC